GAUAGGAAUUCCACGUGUAGCGGUGAAAUGCGUAGAGAUGUGGAGGAACACCAGUGGCGAAGGCGACUCUCUGGUCUGUAACUGACGCUGAGGAGCGAAAGCGUGGGGAGCGAACAGGAUUAGAUACCCUGGUAGUCCACGCCGUAAACGAUGAGUGCUAAGUGUUAGGGGGUUUCCGCCCCUUAGUGCUGCAGCUAACGCAUUAAGCACUCCGCCUGGGGAGUACGGUCGCAAGACUGAAACUCAAAGGAAUUGACGGGGGCCCGCACAAGCGGUGGAGCAUGUGGUUUAAUUCGAAGCAACGCGAAGAACCUUACCAGGUCUUGACAUCCUCUGACAAUCCUAGAGAUAGGACGUCCCCUUCGGGGGCAGAGUGACAGGUGGUGCAUGGUUGUCGUCAGCUCGUGUCGUGAGAUGUUGGGUUAAGUCCCGCAACGAGCGCAACCCUUGAUCUUAGUUGCCAGCAUUCAGUUGGGCACUCUAAGGUGACUGCCGGUGACAAACCGGAGGAAGGUGGGGAUGACGUCAAAUCAUCAUGCCCCUUAUGACCUGGGCUACACACGUGCUACAAUGGGCAGAACAAAGGGCAGCGAAACCGCGAGGUUAAGCCAAUCCCACAAAUCUGUUCUCAGUUCGGAUCGCAGUCUGCAACUCGACUGCGUGAAGCUGGAAUCGCUAGUAAUCGCGGAUUCCAGCAGCCGCGGUAAUACGUUCCCGGGCCUUGUACACACCGCCCGUCACACCACGAGAGUUUGUAACACCCGAAGUCGGUGAGGUAACCUUUAUGGAGCCAGCCGCCGAAGGUGGGACAGAUA
RNAcentral lists this ribosomal RNA (815 nucleotides) under Bacillus sp. NRRL B-23935. RNAcentral describes it as "bacterial SSU rRNA". It matches the Rfam family "Bacterial small subunit ribosomal RNA", at positions 659 to 1473 of the family's 1533-position model. Lineage: Bacteria; Bacillati; Bacillota; Bacilli; Caryophanales; Bacillaceae. The record is from RNAcentral.